AAAUUAUUUCCUGGAAUAUACAACGCAUCAAAAUUAAUUUUAAUAAAACCAUAGUCAGGAGGCCUCCAGACUUCAUUUCUCAUAAGAGCAGUAGAAACACAUAGAUUCUCACGAACAAGCCAUAAAUCUCACUCAUAGCCCCUGAUAAAUCCCAAUAGUUGUGGCAUAGAAAGCUUAAUCCCCUCAUGAACCAACUUAUUUUUGUGAAACUAGAAACACCAAAGAGAUAAAGCAAUAAACCUUUUUUGUCGACCUUCUGCUUCAAGAUAUGUUUUAACAAAAUUAGCCUUAUAAUCCAGGGAAUCGUCCAAAUGGGGAAUUUGAACUUGCAACGAUGUCCAUAUAUUUCGAAGGACCCUACAAGACCCCAACAAAUGCGCUGUAGUUUCUAAAUCUUCCUUACACAGUGGGCAUACAGCCUCCUCACACAGUGUUCGGCGUGCCAAGUUCCCAUAGUGUGGCACCAUGUUAUUGAAUAAUCUCCAAACAUGUAUUUUAAUUUUCUCUGGAAUAUGUAAAGCCUAGAGAUCCAUGUAAAAACUUUUGUAUUCUUCAUUUGUAGAGGACAUGUGUAGAUUGCUCUGUAAAUAAUCUGUAAUAAGAACUCGGUACCCACUCCUGACAGUAUACUCACCUGAGCCUUUAUACUUUCAUACCAACAUAUCCUCUGGUCGGCUUUCAGAGAUGGGAAUGGCAAAGAUUCGAUUAGCAGUGCCAUCAUCCACUAGAUUGUGAAUCAACUCUCUAUUCCAGGUCCUGUCUUCUUCAUUCAUUAACUGAUUCACUGUUGACCAAGGAGGCUUAAUUUCAAUAACCGGGAUUAUGUUAUUCUCCCUUCCAGGCAACCAGGGGUCAUUCCAAAUGUUGAUACUUACACCAUUUUCCACACGCCACAAGAUUCCAUCACUAAUCAGGUCCCGCGCACUACAAAUACUCCUCCAGGUAAAUGAAGGGUAAGAACCAACCUUUGCUGUUAGUAUAGUAGAAAGAGGGAAAU
Molecule: long non-coding RNA, 997 nt
Filed under: Gossypium raimondii (Peruvian cotton)
Lineage: Eukaryota; Viridiplantae; Streptophyta; Magnoliopsida; Malvales; Malvaceae
Description: long non-coding RNA (GRAI_LNC005685)
Source: RNAcentral